GGUGCUUCUUUAUAUGGAAACGCAGCCUGCUAAAAAGGAAGUUUGAACAUACUUUCACUUUCACAUUGCACGUUAAAGACAAGAAAGAAAAGCCAUGGAAAAUGCGGACAGGUUUCUGAAGUCAAAGAGGAGGGAUUUUAUACAAUCGGUGACUACGGGCACGAUAAAUGGCUUGUUGGAUGGAUUACUAGAGGAAAGAGUACUGAACCAAGAGGAGAUGGAGAAAGUAAGAAGAGAAAAUUACACAGCUAUGGAUAAAGCCCGAGAUUUGAUUGAUUCAGUCAUUCGGAAAGGGCACCAGGCAAGCCAAAUAUUUAUCAAUCAAAUUGUUGAAGUUGACCCUCAACUUGCACACAAUCUGGGAUUAUCCUAAGUAGAGAGAUCCUGAAGAACAGAAAAAAACUCUUCAUUCUGCCCUUUCUUCUUUUCAUCUCUAAUGCCUACUGUCAGGUCUAUUAAUUAUGAAAUUCAGCUUUGUUAUAAUCUUCAGGGACAACCCUCAUGCAUGGUGCUCAUUUUUCACUGAAGCGUCAUUAUGUGGCACAUGACUCGACUGAAUGAGGAGGAGAGCACGCUUCUCACCCAAGCUCUGCAAUUUGUGUUUGCCAAGUUUCUGAACCAACUAUUUCUUUUAACCUGGUCUUCUUAUUCAUAAAAUGAAAGCAGUGUAUAUUUAACCUGUUUAAUGGACACAUUUUUCAUGGCAGAUAAUGAAAUAAAGCAUAUGAAAAUUUU
Molecule: RNA transcript, 735 nt
Organism: Phyllostomus discolor (pale spear-nosed bat)
Lineage: Eukaryota; Metazoa; Chordata; Mammalia; Chiroptera; Phyllostomidae
Gene: CARD16
Gene name: caspase recruitment domain family member 16
Exons: 4
Source: RefSeq, a predicted model, not a curated record